GUGGCCGAUGCCCAACGGUCGGGCGCUGGAUUGUGGCUCCAGUCCAAACGGGUUCGACUCCCGUCGGUCACA
RNAcentral lists this transfer RNA (72 nucleotides) under Deltaproteobacteria bacterium. RNAcentral's name for it is "tRNA-His". It matches the Rfam family "tRNA". Rfam says of the family: Transfer RNA (tRNA) molecules are approximately 80 nucleotides in length. Lineage: Bacteria; Pseudomonadati; Myxococcota; Myxococcia. The record is from RNAcentral.